Molecule: transfer RNA, 74 nt
Filed under: Stegodyphus mimosarum
Lineage: Eukaryota; Metazoa; Arthropoda; Arachnida; Araneae; Eresidae
Rfam family: tRNA
About the family: Transfer RNA (tRNA) molecules are approximately 80 nucleotides in length. Their secondary structure includes four short double-helical elements and three loops (D, anti-codon, and T loops).
Source: Rfam by way of RNAcentral
GCCUUCGUGGUGUAAUGGUCAGCACACUGAGCCGGUAUUUCAGAGGUCCGUGUGUUCGAUUCCCGGCGAAGGAA